Molecule: ribosomal RNA, 1434 nt
Filed under: uncultured organism
Description: SSU rRNA
Rfam family: Bacterial small subunit ribosomal RNA
Source: RNAcentral
CGCUAGCUACAGGCUUAACACAUGCAAGUCGAGGGGCAGCAGGAUCUAGCAAUAGACUGCUGGCGACCGGCGCACGGGUGAGUAACACGUAUCCAACCUGCCGAUAACUCGGGGAUAGCCUUUCGAAAGAAAGAUUAAUACCCGAUAGUAUAAUCAGACCGCAUGGUUUGAUUAUUAAAGAAUUUCGGUUAUCGAUGGGGAUGCGUUCCAUUAGGCAGUUGGUGAGGUAACGGCUCACCAAACCUUCGAUGGAUAGGGGUUCUGAGAGGAAGGUCCCCCACAUUGGAACUGAGACACGGUCCAAACUCCUACGGGAGGCAGCAGUGAGGAAUAUUGGUCAAUGGACGCGAGUCUGAACCAGCCAAGUAGCGUGAAGGAUGACUGCCCUAUGGGUUGUAAACUUCUUUUAUAUGGGAAUAAAGUUUUCCACGUGUGGAAUUUUGUAUGUACCAUAUGAAUAAGGAUCGGCUAACUCCGUGCCAGCAGCCGCGGUAAUACGGAGGAUCCGAGCGUUAUCCGGAUUUAUUGGGUUUAAAGGGAGCGUAGGUGGACAGUUAAGUCAGUUGUGAAAGUUUGCGGCUCAACCGUAAAAUUGCAGUUGAUACUGGCUGUCUUGAGUACAGUAGAGGUGGGCGGAAUUCGUGGUGUAGCGGUGAAAUGCUUAGAUAUCACGAAGAACUCCGAUUGCGAAGGCAGCUCACUGGACUGCAACUGACACUGAUGCUCGAAAGUGUGGGUAUCAAACAGGAUUAGAUACCCUGGUAGUCCACACAGUAAACGAUGAAUACUCGCUGUUUGCGAUAUACAGUAAGCGGCCAAGCGAAAGCAUUAAGUAUUCCACCUGGGGAGUACGCCGGCAACGGUGAAACUCAAAGGAAUUGACGGGGGCCCGCACAAGCGGAGGAACAUGUGGUUUAAUUCGAUGAUACGCGAGGAACCUUACCCGGGCUUAAAUUGCAUUUGAAUAUAUUGGAAACAGUAUAGCCGUAAGGCAAAUGUGAAGGUGCUGCAUGGUUGUCGUCAGCUCGUGCCGUGAGGUGUCGGCUUAAGUGCCAUAACGAGCGCAACCCUUAUCUUUAGUUACUAACAGGUCAUGCUGAGGACUCUAGAGAGACUGCCGUCGUAAGAUGUGAGGAAGGUGGGGAUGACGUCAAAUCAGCACGGCCCUUACGUCCGGGGCUACACACGUGUUACAAUGGGGGGUACAGAAGGCAGCUACCUGGUGACAGGAUGCUAAUCCCAAAAGCCUCUCUCAGUUCGGAUCGAAGUCUGCAACCCGACUUCGUGAAGCUGGAUUCGCUAGUAAUCGCGCAUCAGCCAUGGCGCGGUGAAUACGUUCCCGGGCCUUGUACACACCGCCCGUCAAGCCAUGAAAGCCGGGGGUACCUGAAGUACGUAACCGCAAGGAGCGUCCUAGGGUAAAACUGGUAAUUG